GCCGCCAUAGCUCAGUCGGUUAGAGCGUGGGUCUAAUAAGCAAAAGGUCGCAGGUUCGACCCCUGCUGGUGGCA
This is a transfer RNA of Toxocara canis (dog roundworm), 74 nucleotides long. It matches the Rfam family "tRNA". Rfam says of the family: Transfer RNA (tRNA) molecules are approximately 80 nucleotides in length. Their secondary structure includes four short double-helical elements and three loops (D, anti-codon, and T loops). Further hydrogen bonds mediate the characteristic L-shaped molecular structure. tRNAs have two regions of fundamental functional importance: the anti-codon, which is responsible for specific mRNA codon recognition, and the 3' end, to which the tRNAs corresponding amino acid is attached (by aminoacyl-tRNA synthetases). tRNAs cope with the degeneracy of the genetic code in two manners: having more than one tRNA (with a specific anti-codon) for a particular amino acid; and 'wobble' base-pairing, i.e. permitting non-standard base-pairing at the 3rd anti-codon position. Lineage: Eukaryota; Metazoa; Nematoda; Chromadorea; Rhabditida; Toxocaridae. The record is from Rfam.